GUGCAAUUUCAAGAGAGCUUGUGUCGAUAACCUACUGCUACCCCAGGCAUGGACGUUUUAAGCAUGCUCUUUUUUUUCUGCUUGGGAAAAAGCUGGGGACAGGAGCAAAUUAAAAAUUAGAGUUUAUUCAUUGGAUGAAAACCUAAAGCCAUCUCGAAGAGACAUUAUCUUGACUUUUGUAGCUCCAGAAGGGUCAGAAGUUGCCAUGGUAGAAGAAAGAAAUGAUACUGGAAUUAUCACUUUUCCUGACUUCAAGAUCCCAUCUCAUCCUAAGUUCUUGGAGCUUUAGAUAAAAGUGGCCAGGGCUGUGGAGCAAGUGGUGGCAGAGGCAAUGCCGAGGUAUUCACUCAGCAGGACUCCUGCUCCUCACCAACGUGGACACACACCACUCCUACCAAGUGGUACUCAUCCCGUUCCCAGUCAAGCCACAUGAGUCAUGUGAGAAAAUUCUCAGAUCAAGAGAGUCCUUGAAAGAAGAAAUAGGAAAUCUAUUGCUCCAAAGUUUCAUUUCCCCCGCACCCAGAAGUUAUGAUGGAAUAACCCAGGAUCUGCAACAUUUUGUCAUGCUAGCCAGUUGGUGUAGAACAGACGAAAAGGUCUAUAGUCACUUCUGGUUUUUACUUUCAGAGAGGUGAAAUAACCUGGUAAAACUAACCCACAUUCAUUUAGCAUGGUCUUACCCUAAAGGAGAUAUAGAUAUUCUUCAUGUCCAUUAUCUAUAGGGACAGAGUCCUUAGCUAACUCACUGAAUCUCCCCCAAGCCUCAGUUUCUUUCUAAAGUGCUUUCUUGGUAAUGUCACACUCAAACUUAGACUAGACAGAAAUCUGAUCAGUAUUUCACCAUACCAAAGUGAGUUACUGAAAAUUCAAGUAUCUUGCUAAGUUAAAAUAACUGGGAGAAAAACAGACCUUCUUUACAGUGGUCCAAUGUUUUAUCUCAUGGUAUUGCCUCUUGGUCCCUGCCCCAGCACUGCCCCUUAGCAGGUGUAACCACUUCAUACCUUUGUCAUCUCUCAAUGACAGGAAAGGACAUUAUCACUCUAAACCACCAUCAGUGGUUUUGGAAAAAAGAGUAAAUUCUCUUAUUAGAGGCUUCCUACUGACUUGACUGUGGUUUUAGUCAGUUUUUGUUGCUAUGACCAAAGCACCUGAAGAGAACAGCAUAGAUAAGGAAAAUUUUAUUUUGGUUAUGGUUUUAGAAGUUUAGUCCACAGUUGGCCAAAUCCAUAGCUCUGGGCCUAGGUGAAACAGAACAUAUGACACAAGGGCUUGGCAGAGGAGAGCUACUCAGGACAUGGCAACCAGGAGACAGAGAGACUCCAGUCACCAAGGACAAACUAUAAACCCCAAAGGCACACCUCCAGUGACCUCUACCCACACCCUACCUGCCUACAGUUACCACCUAGUUAAUCCAUAUCAGUGGAUCAGUUCACUGGCCAGAAAACUAAUCUGAUUGUAAUCUAAUCAUUUUUAUCCCUGAAUAUUUUUGCAUUGUCUCACACAUGAGCUUUUGGGGGACACCUCACAUCUAAACCAUAACAACUGCCUUGGUCAGGGAAAUGUUCCAUAGAGUAUGACUAUAUGAAGAUUUUAAACCUGAUCUAAAUUUAAAAAAAGGUCCUAGGGGUGUUCAAUGGAGUAUCUCCAUCAGUCUCUGAUACUAUAACAAAGUACCAUAGGCUGGGUGGUUUAUAAACAACAAAAUUGUAUUUCUCACAGUCCUGGAGGCUGGAAAACUGAAAUCAGAGUGUAACCACUUCAUACCUUUGUCAUCUCUCAAUGACAGGAAAGGACAUUAUCACUCUAAACCACCGUCAGUGGUUUUGGAAAAAAUAGUAAAUUCUCUUCUUACAGCCUGGAAGAAGGCAUGGGCCUUCUUCCCGGCUGCAGACUGCCAACUUCUCACUAUAUCCUUACAUGGCAGAAAGAGGGAAGUAAGAGAACUCCCUGGCUCCCAUUCAUGACGGCCAAUCUUCCAAAGGCCCCACCUCCUAAUAUCAUCACAUCGGGGCUUAAGAUUUCAUCAUAUGAAUUCCUGGGAACACUAACUUUCCAUCCAUAACACAGAAAAGGGGUAAGGCUUAGGUAAUCAUGAUGCCUAUCUUUAAAUAUUUGAGGAACUCAUGGUCAGAUGACUUUUUCUGCACAAGAGAAUUCAUCCUAUGGCUCUCAAUAAGGGUACCAGUAACAGGAGUUAGAUUUUGGUUAAGAAGAUGUCAGGAAGAACUUUUCAGCAAUUUAGCUCUCUGAAAUAGAAUAGACUCACUGGGGAGGAGUCAAUUUCCUACUCUGGGAGGUGGUCAACCACUAGUACUAAGUUGGGGGAGGCAGCGUGCAACAGGAGGAAGUUUGAUCAGAGCCUCCAAGUUCAGCCCUGAGACUUCAAAUCUGGACUUGGCUGAGAAGUGCUGUGUUAUCAUAUCAGCAUCCCAAUUCAGACAUCCUCUGAUCCAGAAGUGAGGAGAGCUGAAGGGAGAGAGCUCUGAGGAUUACCAUUGGCCAGAGGGGUUCCAGCACUUUCUCGAUGUGCUGUGUCCUGGCAAAUGAGCAUCAGGCAAACAGUUCUCACACCAAUGUAUCAUGGGAAGGACAGGUAGGUGUAAAAGUUCCCAUUCCUUGUGCCAUGCAGUGGUAAGGUGCUGGGUGGAGUUUGUACUGCCAUGGGAAGAAGUUGUUCCAAACUGGGCUUUAAUGUACACAAGAUGAAGUCAACUCCUGCAGUUCACCUCCAAAAGCGGAGCUGGCAGCGACAGUCAUACCAGUUUGGGGAUCACUGAUCCCAUGUCACCACUAACUCACUGUGGAAGUCAGAGGUCUUUAUCCUCUCAAAGCCAGUUUGUAAAAUGAAAAUAUUUGCUUGAUUCUGUGGCAUUGAUUUUCUACAGACUUCACUGGCUACACAGAGCAUGAUUAUUUUUUAGAUCUUAUAUAAAAACAAUAGCAUACUUUAAAGAAUCAAAAUAUUAUUCUUGAUUUCACCACAAACCACAGCCAAUAAGAUUUAUCAGAAGUUGGUGCUUUUUCAAGCUAACACAUACUCUCUUUUUCUUCCUCCUCCCCCUCCUCCUCCCCCUCCUCCUUCUCCUCCUCUGUCCCUUCCUCUUCACUCCUUCUAAUGGCUAAAUGUUAGGACUUGGUCACAGCUGAAGGCCUUUGUUAUUAGUAAUGAUGCUGGUAUUGAUGAAGUGUUUGGAUGAUAUUAAGUUGAGAAAUCUUUCUUGACAUUAGACUGAGAAAUGCUUUUUUUCCAUAAUUAAUUAGUGAAAGAAAAAGAUGUAUCAGAAGUAAAAGAAAUCCCAAGAGGCAUACAUGGAAAAGAAUUUCCUUUAGCUCGUUUUCUCAGGGUUUAGGCACGUACACAUCAAAGAAUGAAGUGAAUAAUUUAUUAACAUUUUCUUCAGUUUUUCUGCCCUACUUUUAAGCCUAUUUUCUUUAGUUUCAUUUGCAUUCUAAUUAACUACACUACUGGAGAGAUCAUACAAAUUAAGGAAGAGGUAUCUAAGAAAUAUAUUGAAAUUUUUGUUUGAAAUUGUACUCAAACAAGUAGGUAGCUUAUUAAAAAUGAUCUAGUGACAUUCUUAUGUCUUUGCAUGAAACUGUAAAAGUAUAUGAAUAAAAUCCAUAUUUUAAAAUAUAAAAUAUAAAAUUUACCUUAAAUCCUCAAUAGUAGUGGUAGUAUAAGGGAAAACCUAUUAUAAUUUACGAAUGCAUAUAUUUUUAAAACUUAAAGAAAUGAAAGUAAUUUAGCAUACAAGUUUAAAAGGAAGUCCACAAAAAAUUUGGGAGAAAAUCAGUUAAAAAUUUAAGAGCCAGCAUUUCAAAAUGUCUAUCACCUUCCCCACAGUGUUAACUAUUGUUAAGAGAUUUCUACAGAAAAUGGGAUCACACUACAUAAAUGGGAUAACAUACCCUUCUGCAAUGUGCUUUUCUGAAGUAUUGGCAAAUAUCAUGAACUCAUUUUCACAUUAGUGCAGAGAAAUCUGCCUCAUUCUUUUUAAAUAAUUGCAUAGUACUUGAUAAAACCACUAUGUCUUCAUUUUCUUCACUGCUUAUACAUUAAUGGGCAUAUUUGCUUCUGGGGCUGCCAUAACAAAUUACUCCCAACUUGGUGACUUAAAACAAUGGAAAUUCAUUCUCUCACAGUUCUGGAGGCCAGAAAUCCAAAAGUUGUCAGCAGAGUCGGCUCCCUCCAAAGUCUCUAGUACAGAAUCCUCCCUUGUCUCUUCACGUAUCUGGUGGCUGUUGGUGGUCCUUGAUGUUCUUUGGGUUACAGACACAUCAGUUCAAUCUCUGCCUCAGGCUUCACAUGGCUGUCUCCCCUGCGUUUCUGUGUCUUCUCUUUUUCUGUCUCGUAUAAGGAUACUUCUAAUGUUAUACCUAAUUAAGACUUCUUAUAAGGAGUUAGAGUCCACUCUAAUCCAGUAUGAUCUCGUUUCAAGACCAUUAACUUAAUUCUCAAAUAAGUUCAUAUUCCCAAGUACCAAGGGAUUUGGACAUAGCUUUCUGGGAUCACAGUAAAAAUUAGGACAUACCUUAUUAGGGCCAUUGACUAAAUGUUUAAAUAGUUUUCCCCACAUUUUCAUUAUUAGAAACUCCUGGGAGGAAAAAAAAAACUAUCAUUUUGAUCUUUUUUAUGUGUCUGUGUAUUUCUGUAAGAACUAUGUCAUUGUGUCUUAGUUCGGGUUACUGAAACAAAGAUACCCUGGAAGGGGAACUCAAACUACAAACACUGAUUUCUCACGUUCCACAGAUGAAGAAGGCCAAGGCCAGAGGGCCUACUGAUCUGGUGUCUGCUGAGGGCCCUCUUCCUUAUCUACAGACUGCCAUCUUUCUCCAGGUAUACUUACAAGGUGGAGAGAGAGUAAGGGCUAGCUCUCUUCUCUUCUAAUAGAACCACUAAUUCCAACAAGGAGACUCCACUCUCAUGACCUGACCACCUCCCAAAGGCCUCCUUCCAAAACCCAAAACCCAAAACCCAUCACAUCAGGGCGUCAAUGUACCGGAGCACCGAACACUGUAGCACAUUGUCUGAAGGUGAAAUUGCUGAAUCAGGUGGGCACAUAGAUGGACUGGAUGUAUAUUUAAAAACGAAUGGUACCAAUGUCUACUCCCCCCAACUGCAUUUAAAGCCUGCCUUUCAACCUUCUUCCCCCUUGUAAAAAUCUAUUAACUUUUGUCAAUCCGUUGAGUCAGAAGUGUCUCACUUUAUUAAGAAAAUCAAUGAUUCCCUAUAAAUUGAUGACCAUAACUAUGUUUAUAUGUUUCUUGGACACCGAUAGUUCUGUGAUUAUCCUUUUCACAUUUUGGCCAAUUUUUCUUUGCCUUGUCUAUCUUUUUGCCUGUGGUUUUAUAGACAUUUUUAUAAAUCAUGGAAACCAACCCUUGUCUGUUACGUAAGUUGCAAAUAUAGGCAUGUGUAUUAAGUACAUGCACACACACAUACACACAAACAUGCAGACAUAAAAUAUACUCAAUAUGUUGCAAGUAUUUUCUUCCAACCCAUUGGGUUAUUAACCUUGCUAGGUAGCAGGAGUUUUUAAUAGUUGGUAAAAUUUGUCUAGAGUUUCUGGAAUUGAUGUUUCUAUAGAUCCCUUUAGCCUCUUCCUUCUACUUUCUUUAUCAGUUGUUCUCUUUUGAAAUUUUUAAGUGAAUUACUGUAUUUUCAGUAGUAAAUGUUUAAUUGAGUCUUCUCCUUAUAUUUCUAACAGGUUUUGCUUUAUGUGUUUCAAAGCUAUGUUAAGUGCAAAAGGCAUAUGACUGGUCCAUAGUUUUAGUAAAUCAUAACUUUAUCUACAUAAAAUACUCCUCAUUGUCUAUUGAGUAUUGUGAGUUCUAUUUUAUCAAACCCUUUAUUUUCAAUCUUCCCAUAUCAUUUGGUGACUUUGCAUAUUUAAAAAAAAUUCUUUUAUUGCUGAAAAUUUUUGUUCUUCAACAUUUUCAAGAAUGUCUGACUUUGAAGGGGAUAUUUUAAACCUGCCUGAGUUUGUUGAGUUUGUACUUAUUCCUGUUCCCUUGUUUUCUAUUUCUUUAUAUCCUUUUCUUCCUGUUGAUUCACUUUGGUGCAUCCUUCUUUAUCCUGUUAAAAUGUUAUGUUAGUUUCCUUGAUAAAAAUAACACUAUAUAGAAGAGUAAGAAGUGCAAGGUAAAUGUCCUUGACUUCACUUGCUUUCAAAGUUAUGGCCAUUGUGGACGAUUUCAUCUCCUCUCAGAAAAGUUCUUUCCUAUACAAACAUCUACAUCUGGAUCUAUAUCUGUAUCUUUUGUUUUAUGCCUAGGGGAUAUUUC
Sciurus carolinensis (gray squirrel) is the source of this 6285-nucleotide long non-coding RNA. RefSeq lists it as uncharacterized. The record is from RefSeq and is a predicted model, not a curated record. Lineage: Eukaryota; Metazoa; Chordata; Mammalia; Rodentia; Sciuridae. The transcript is spliced from 5 exons.